CGGUUGAUCCUGCCGGACCCGACUGCUAUCAGAGUGGGACUAAGCCAUGCGAGUCAACGCCGAAAGGCGUGGCAUACGGCUCAGUAACACGUAGUCAACAUGCCCAGGGGACGUGGAUAACCUCGGGAAACUGAGGAUAAACCGCGAUAGGUCAUAAUUACUGGAAUGUGUUAUGGCCCAAAUCUAUAUGGCCUCUGGAUUGGACUGCGGCCGAUCAGGCUGUUGGUGAGGUAAUGGCCCACCAAACCUUUUACCGGUACGGGCUCUGAGAGGAGGAGCCCGGAGAUGGGCACUGAGACAAGGGCCCAGGCCCUAUGGGGCGCAGCAGGCGCGAAACCUCUGCAAUAGGCGAAAGCCUGACAGGGUUACUCUGAGUGAUUCCCGCUAAGGGAAUCUUUUGGCAUCUCUAAAAAUGGUGCAGAAUAAGGGGUGGGCAAGUCUGGUGUCAGCCGCCGCGGUAAUACCAGCACCCCGAGUGGUCGGGACGAUUAUUGGGCCUAAAGCAUCCGUAGCCGGUCUUGCAAGUCUUCCGUUAAAUCCAGCUGCUUAACAGAUGGGCUGCGGAGGAUACUACAAGGCUAGGAGGCGGGAGAGGCAAGCGGUACUCAGUGGGUAGGGGUAAAAUCCUCUGAUCCAUUGAAGACCACCAGUGGCGAAGGCGGCUUGCCAGAACGCGCUCGACGGUGAGGGAUGAAAGCUGGGGGAGCAAACCGGAUUAGAUACCCGGGUAGUCCCAGCUGUAAACAAUGCA
Molecule: ribosomal RNA, 751 nt
Filed under: uncultured archaeon
Lineage: Archaea
Description: bacterial SSU rRNA
Rfam family: Archaeal small subunit ribosomal RNA
Source: RNAcentral